RNAcentral lists this unclassified non-coding RNA (400 nucleotides) under uncultured fungus. RNAcentral describes it as "sequence contains ITS1". The stretch from base 1 to 105 matches the Rfam family "5.8S ribosomal RNA", at positions 50 to 154 of the family's 154-position model. Lineage: Eukaryota; Fungi. The record is from RNAcentral.
UAACUGCGAUAACUAGUGUGAACUGCAGAAACCUUGAACACUAAAGCUUCGAAUGCACAUUGCGCCAUUGGAUUUACGUCCUUUGGCACGCCUGGUUCAGGGUCGUUACCCUAAUACACAAGAUAAUUUGUGUGUGUCGAAAUCGCGAGUCCACAUCAGAGAGUGUGUUCUUGUCAGAUAAUUUUUGUUUGAGAGUCCGUUUGUUCAUUCAGUAGUGCGGAUGUUAGAUCAGUAGAAGUUGUUUAUUCAACCGAUCUUCAUCAUGAAGGCAGAGAUGGCUGCCUGCGCUCCGCUGUUUUGUUCAAAUGGCUCGUUAUCUCUCACCAGUGGAAUGUGCUGGCUGUUAGGUGGCAUUCUCUUCAAUAUUUCGACCUGAACUCAGACGUGAAUACCCGCUGAA